UUUAUUGGAGAGUUUGAUCCUGGCUCAGGAUGAACGCUGGCGGCGUGCCUAAUACAUGCAAGUYGAGCGAAUGGAUUAAGAGCUUGCUCUUAUGAAGUUAGCGGCGGACGGGUGAGUAACACGUGGGUAACCUGCCCAUAAGACUGGGAUAACUCCGGGAAACCGGGGCUAAUACCGGAUAACAUUUUGAACYGCAUGGUUCGAAAUUGAAAG
RNAcentral lists this ribosomal RNA (213 nucleotides) under Bacillus cereus. Its description in RNAcentral is "partial 16S ribosomal RNA". It matches the Rfam family "Bacterial small subunit ribosomal RNA", at positions 1 to 207 of the family's 1533-position model. Lineage: Bacteria; Bacillati; Bacillota; Bacilli; Caryophanales; Bacillaceae. The record is from RNAcentral.